This 450-nucleotide ribosomal RNA is filed under the name uncultured bacterium. Its description in RNAcentral is "bacterial SSU rRNA". It matches the Rfam family "Bacterial small subunit ribosomal RNA", at positions 32 to 510 of the family's 1533-position model. The record is from RNAcentral.
AAUCAACGCUGGCGGCGUGCCUAACACAUGCAAGUCGAACGAGAAAGGGGAGCAAUCCCUGAGUACAGUGGCGACCGGGUGAGUAACACGUGACUACCUACCCUUGAGUGGGGAGUAACCUCGGGAAACCGAGGCUAAUACCGCAUAAUAUCGCAAGAUCAAAGGAAGCAAUCCGCUCUUGGAGGGGGUCGCGGCUGAUUAGCUAGUUGGUAGGGUAAUGGCCUACCAAGGCGAAGANCGGUAUCCGGCCUGAGAGGGCGCACGGACACACUGGAACUGAAACACGGUCCAGACUCCUACGGGAGGCAGCAGUGGGGAAUUUUGCGCAAUGGGGGAAACCCGUGACGCAGCAACGCCGCGUGGAGGAUGAAGCUCCUUGGAGUGUAAACUCCUUUCGACCGGACGAUAAUGACGGUACCGGUGGAAGAAGCACCGGCUAACUCUGUGCCA